This 92-nucleotide transfer RNA is filed under the name Candidatus Bathyarchaeota archaeon. RNAcentral describes it as "tRNA-Asp". It matches the Rfam family "tRNA". From Rfam's summary of the family: Transfer RNA (tRNA) molecules are approximately 80 nucleotides in length. The record is from RNAcentral. Lineage: Archaea; Thermoproteati; Candidatus Bathyarchaeota.
GCCCCGGUAGUGUAGCGGCCUAUCAUUGGCGGCUGUCACCCGCCAGACCUAUGGAGGGCGAAACCCGGGUUCAAAUCCCGGCCGGGGUGCCA